This 162-nucleotide non-coding RNA is filed under the name Caballeronia telluris. RNAcentral describes it as "Burkholderia sp. LMG 22936 Burkholderia sRNA 2". It matches the Rfam family "Burkholderia sRNA 2". From Rfam's summary of the family: Upregulated in response to iron ion depletion. Lineage: Bacteria; Pseudomonadati; Pseudomonadota; Betaproteobacteria; Burkholderiales; Burkholderiaceae. The record is from Rfam by way of RNAcentral.
AUGAGCGCCUGUCCACCCCAUUCCUCCUGCCGUAGCGCCCGCCACCACGCGCCUUUCAGCGCGGUCGGCAUGGACCCGGGCUACGUGGCGAAGGACAGCGUGAGGCGCCUCUUGACCGAUGUCGAGCCGCUGUUUCCCAUCAACGGGACGGCGGCUUUUUUG